UACGGAGGAUCCGAGCGUUAUCCGGAUUUACUGGGUGUAAAGGGAGCGUAGACGGCACGGCAAGCCAGAUGUGAAAGCCCGGGGCUCAACCCCGGGACUGCAUUUGGAACUGCUGAGCUAGAGUGUCGGAGAGGCAAGUGGAAUUCCUAGUGUAGCGGUGAAAUGCGUAGAUAUUAGGAGGAACACCAGUGGCGAAGGCGGCUUGCUGGACGAUGACUGACGUUGAGGCUCGAAAGCGUGGGGAGCAAACAGGAUUAGAUACCCCUGCCGGCUGACUGACU
Molecule: ribosomal RNA, 281 nt
Filed under: Dorea longicatena
Lineage: Bacteria; Bacillati; Bacillota; Clostridia; Lachnospirales; Lachnospiraceae
Description: partial 16S ribosomal RNA
Rfam family: Bacterial small subunit ribosomal RNA
Source: RNAcentral